This 121-nucleotide ribosomal RNA is filed under the name Pseudomonas sp. Leaf434. The record is from RNAcentral. Lineage: Bacteria; Pseudomonadati; Pseudomonadota; Gammaproteobacteria; Pseudomonadales; Pseudomonadaceae.
CUUGACGACCAUAGAGCGUUGGAACCACCUGAUCCCAUCCCGAACUCAGCAGUGAAACGAUGCAUCGCCGAUGCGAUGGUAGUGUGGGGUUUCCCCAUGUGAGAGUAGGUCAUCGUCAAGA